RNAcentral lists this ribosomal RNA (497 nucleotides) under uncultured bacterium. RNAcentral describes it as "partial 16S ribosomal RNA". It matches the Rfam family "Bacterial small subunit ribosomal RNA", at positions 28 to 507 of the family's 1533-position model. The record is from RNAcentral.
GACGAACGCUGGCGGCGUGCCUAAUACAUGCAAGUUGAGCGCUGAAGGUUGGUACUUGUACCAACUGGAUGAGCAGCGAACGGGUGAGUAACGCGUGGGGAAUCUGCCUUUGAGCGGGGGACAACAUUUGGAAACGAAUGCUAAUACCGCAUAAAAACUUUAAACACAAGUUUUAAGUUUGAAAGAUGCAAUUGCAUCACUCAAAGAUGAUCCCGCGUUGUAUUAGCUAGUUGGUGAGGUAAAGGCUCACCAAGGCGAUGAUACAUAGCCGACCUGAGAGGGUGAUCGGCCACAUUGGGACUGAGACACGGCCCAAACUCCUACGGGAGGCAGCAGUAGGGAAGCUUCGGCAAUGGACGAAAGUCUGACCGAGCAACGCCGCGUGAGUGAAGAAGGGUUUCGGAUCGUAAAACUCGGUUGGUAGAGAAGAACGUUGGUGAGAGUGGAAAGCUCAUCAAGUGACGGUAACUACCCAGAAAGGGACGGCUAACUACGUG